Molecule: ribosomal RNA, 529 nt
Filed under: uncultured bacterium
Lineage: Bacteria
Description: bacterial SSU rRNA
Rfam family: Bacterial small subunit ribosomal RNA
Source: RNAcentral
UUGACAUCCAGAGAAUUUAGCAGAGAUGCUUUAGUGCCUUCGGGAACUCUGAGACAGGUGCUGCAUGGCUGUCGUCAGCUCGUGUUGUGAAAUGUUGGUUAAGUCCGCAACGAGCGCAACCCUUAUCCUUUGUUGCCAGCACGUAAUGGUGGGAAACGUCAAAGGAGACUGCCGGUGAUAAACCGGAGGAAGGUGGGGAUGACGUCAAGUCAUCAUGGCCCUUACGAGUAGGGCUACACACGUGCUACAAUGGCGCAUACAAAGAGAAGCGACCUCGCGAGAGCAAACGGACCUCAUAAAGUGCGUCGUAGUCCGGAUUGGAGUCUGCAACUCGACUCCAUGAAGUCGGAAUCGCUAGUAAUCGUAAAUCAGAAUGUUACGGUGAAUACGUUCCCGGGCCUUGUACACACCGCCCGUCACACCAUGGGAGUGGGUUGCAAAAGAAGUAGAUAGCUUAACCUUCGGGAGGGCGUUUACCACUUUGUGAUUCAUGACUGGGGUGAAGUCGUAACAAGGUAAGCGUAGUGCU